CCUACGGGGCGCUGCAGUGAGGAAUAUUGGUCAAUGGGCGGGAGCCUGAACCAGCCAAGUCGCGUGAGGGAAGACGGUCCUAUGGAUUGUAAACCUCUUUAGGCGGGGAGCAAUGCCGGGCACGCGUGCCCGGAGGGAGAGUACCCGCAGAAUAAGCAUCGGCUAACUCCGUGCCAGCAGCCGCGGUAAUACGGAGGAUGCGAGCGUUAUCCGGAUUUAUUGGGUUUAAAGGGUGCGUAGGCGGAUUUUUAAGUCAGCGGGAAAAUGGCCGGGCUCAACCCGGGCCGGCCGUUGAAACUGGGGAUCUUGAGUGGGCGAGAAGUAUGCGGAAUGCGUGGUGUAGCGGUGAAAUGCAUAGAUAUCACGCAGAACUCCGAUUGCGAAGGCAGCAUACCGGCGCCCGACUGACGCUGAGGCACGAAAGCGUGGGGAUCGAACAGGAUUAGAUACCCCAGUAGUC
Molecule: ribosomal RNA, 460 nt
Filed under: uncultured bacterium
Lineage: Bacteria
Description: partial 16S ribosomal RNA
Rfam family: Bacterial small subunit ribosomal RNA
Source: RNAcentral